AACGCUGGCGGCGUGCUUAACACAUGCAAGUCGAACGAUGAAAGAGAAUCCGAUCUCUUCGGAGUGAAGAAUCUCUGGAUUAGUGGCGGACGGGUGAGUAACGCGUGAGCAAUCUGCCUUACACAAAGGGAUAGCCUCGGGAAACCGGGAUUAAUACCAUAUGAUAUCUAUUCACCGCAUGGUUUAUAGAUUAAAGAAUUUCGGUGUAAGAUGAGCUCGCGUCCCAUUAAUUAGUUGGUGAGGGUAACGGCCCACCAAGAUAGCGAUGGGUAGCCGAUCUAAGAGGAUGACCGGCCACAUUGGAACUGAGAAACGGUCCAAACUCCUACGGGAGGCAGCAGUGGGGAAUAUUGCACAAUGGGGGAAACCCUGAUGCAGCGACGCCGCGUGAGCGAUGAAGGCUUUCGAGUCGUAAAGCUCUGUCCUAUGGGAAGAUAAUGACGGUACCAUAGAAGAAAGCCCCGGCUAAUUACGUGCCAGCCGCCGCGGUAA
Molecule: ribosomal RNA, 492 nt
Filed under: uncultured Eubacteriales bacterium
Lineage: Bacteria; Bacillati; Bacillota; Clostridia; Eubacteriales
Description: bacterial SSU rRNA
Rfam family: Bacterial small subunit ribosomal RNA
Source: RNAcentral